GUCCCGGUGCAGAGUAGGGUGCCCAGGUAUAUUACAGUAGACAGGUGUCUGCUCAGAUAAUGCCCCGGUGCAGAAUAGGGUGCCCAGGUAUAUCACAGUAGACAGGUGUCUGCUCAGAUAAUGCCCCGGUGCAGAGUAGGGUGACCAGGUAUAUCACAGUAGACAGGUGUCUGCUCAGAUAAUGCCCCGGUGCAGAGUAGGGUGCCCAGGUAUAUUACAGUAGACAGGUGUCUGCUCAGAUAAUGCCCCGGUGCAGAAUAGGGUACCCAGGAUGGCUGGUCUCAGACGAUCCCUCAGGUGAAGAAGCCAGAUGUCAAUGUUCUGGGCCAGCGUGUACUUAUUUGUUUAACUUUUUUAAAUGUAACCUUUAUUUAACUAGUCAAGUCAGUUAUGAUCAAAUUCUUAUUUACAAUGACACCGGCCAAACCUGGACGACGCGGGGCCAAUUGUGCGUCACCCUAUGGGACUCCCAAUCACAGCCAAUUGUGAUACCGCCUGGAAUCGAACCAGGGUGUCUGUCGUGACGCCUCUAAUCAAAUCAAAUCAAAUCAAAUUUUAUUUGUCACAUACACAUGGUUAGCAGAUGUUAAUGCGAGUGUAGCGAAAUGCUUGUGCUUCUAGUUCCGACAAUGCAGUAAUAACGAACAAGUAAUCUAACUAACAAUUCCAAAAAACUACUGUCUUAUACACAGUGUAAGGGGAUAAAGAAUAUGUACAUAAGGAUAUAUGAAUCCUUAUGGCGCAGUGCCUUAGACCACUGCGCCACUCGGGAGCCAUGGUUUCCAAGUUACAUGUGGUCUGCCGGUUGGACGUACUGCCAAAUUCUCUAAAAUGACUUUGGAGUCGGCUUAUGGUAGAGAAAUUAACAUUAAAGUCUCUGGCAACAGCUCUGGUGGACAUUUCCUGCAGUCAGCAUGCCAAUUGCACUCUCCUUCAAAAACAUCUGUGGCAUUGAAUUAUGUGACAAAACUGUAUAUUUUAGUGGCCUUUUAUUGUCCCCAGCACAAGGUGCACCUGUGCACCUCAUGCUGUUUAAUCAGCUUCUUGAUAUGACACACCUGUCAGCUGUAUGGAUUACCAUGGUAACGGAGAAAAGCUCAAUGACAGGGAUGGAAAAAUAAUUUGUGCACAACAUUUUUGAGAAAUAAUUUUUUGGGGCAUAUGGAACAUUUCUGUGAUCUUUUAUGAAACAUGUGACCAACACUUUACAUUUUGGACGUACAAUUCUGUUCAGUAUAGUAUAAAUAGUGCAGUACUUUUGGACAGGGUACAUAGGAAAAUGGGGAAUAAGGUGCCAUUUUGGAGGCAGCCUUGAGUUGUGUUUUUUAACCUACAGUAUUUGAACAGCUGUGCUGCUGCUGGCAGAUAGAUGUUUGAGGUAGUAGGGAAAAUAAAGCUGGACUGUAGAAGAAAUAGGGAGGUCAGAU
This is a long non-coding RNA of Oncorhynchus tshawytscha (Chinook salmon), 1427 nucleotides long. The record is from Ensembl. NCBI's taxonomy places the organism in Eukaryota, Metazoa, Chordata, Actinopteri, Salmoniformes, Salmonidae.